RNAcentral lists this ribosomal RNA (253 nucleotides) under uncultured bacterium. RNAcentral describes it as "partial 16S ribosomal RNA". It matches the Rfam family "Bacterial small subunit ribosomal RNA", at positions 524 to 776 of the family's 1533-position model. The record is from RNAcentral.
UACGAAGGGGGCGAGCGUUGUUCGGAUUUACUGGGCGUAAAGGGCGCGUAGGCGGCCAUGCGUGUCUUCCGUGAAAUCCCUCGGCUUAACUGAGGACGUGCGGAAGAAACUGCAAGGCUCGAGUCCGGGAGAGGGGGGUGGAAUUCCCAGUGUAGCGGUGAAAUGCGUAGAUAUUGGGAGGAACACCGGUGGCGAAGGCGGCCCCCUGGACCGGUACUGACGCUGAGGCGCGAAAGCGUGGGUAGCAAACGGG